RNAcentral lists this ribosomal RNA (489 nucleotides) under uncultured bacterium. RNAcentral's name for it is "partial 16S ribosomal RNA". It matches the Rfam family "Bacterial small subunit ribosomal RNA", at positions 28 to 507 of the family's 1533-position model. The record is from RNAcentral.
GACGAACGCUGGCGGCGUGCUUAACACAUGCAAGUCGAACGGAAAGGCCCCCAUCUUGGUGGGGGUGCUCGAGUGGCGAACGGGUGAGUAACACGUGGGUGAUCUGCCCUGUACUUCGGGAUAAGCUUGGGAAACUGGGUCUAAUACCGGAUAGGACCAUGGUUUAGUGUCUCAUGGUGGAAAGAUUAUUGUUUUGGUGCAGGAUGAGCUCGCGGCCUAUCAGCUUGUUGGUGGGGUAAUGGCCUACCAAGGCGUCGACGGGUAGCCGGCCUGAGAGGGUGGACGGCCGCAUUGGGACUGAGACACGGCCCAGACUCCUACGGGCGGCAGCAGUGGUGAAUCGUGCACAAUGGGCGCAAGCCUGAUGCAGCGACGCCGCGUGGGGGAUGACGGCCUUCGGGUUGUAAACUCCUUUCGUUAGGGACGAAGCCGCUCUUUUUUUGGGUGUGGUGACGGUACCUUUGUUAAGAAGCCCCGGCUAACUACGUG